GUGGGGAAUCUUCCACAAUGGACGAAAGUCUGAUGGAGCAACGCCGCGUGAGCGAUGAAGGAUUUCGGUCUGUAAAACUCUGUUGUUCAUGACGAACGUUUCCUGGGUUAACAAUCCAGGGAAGUGACGGUAGUGAACGAGGAAGCCACGGCUAACUACGUGCCAGCAGCCGCGGUAAUACGUAGGUGGCGAGCGUUGUCCGGAAUUAUUGGGCGUAAAGAGCAUGUAGGCGGCUUUUUAAGUCGGUCGUGAAAAUGCGGGGCUUAACCCCGUAUUGCGGUCGAAACUGGAGGGCUGGAGUGCAGGAGAGGAAAGGGGAAUUCCCAGUGUAGCGGUGAAAUGCGUAGAUAUUGGGAGGAACACCAGUGGCGAAGGCGCCUUUCUGGACUGUGUCUGACGCUGAGAUGCGAAAGCCAGGGUAGCAAACGGGAUUAGAAACCCCGGUAGUCC
RNAcentral lists this ribosomal RNA (450 nucleotides) under uncultured bacterium. Its description in RNAcentral is "partial 16S ribosomal RNA". It matches the Rfam family "Bacterial small subunit ribosomal RNA", at positions 354 to 796 of the family's 1533-position model. The record is from RNAcentral.